RNAcentral lists this long non-coding RNA (208 nucleotides) under Lathyrus oleraceus (garden pea). Its description in RNAcentral is "Pisum sativum (pea) long non-coding RNA (PSAT_LNC028336)". The record is from RNAcentral. Lineage: Eukaryota; Viridiplantae; Streptophyta; Magnoliopsida; Fabales; Fabaceae.
GCAUGGCAAGUUGUAGGAGUUUGAUUCACUAAUCAAAAUCUCUAACUUGUGUUGUUGCCUACAUUAUUAUUGACCGGCCUCAGAUAGUUGUGACUUCUAUAUAAGUCCAAUUACGAUUGCUUAACAUAGCGCUAAGUUGCCUUAUGGCACACUAACUCUAACACUAACCAUUAACCAUUAACAUUUAAUUCUUGCUCUUUACAUUUAU